GCUACCGACAUGAAGUGGUUCUAUGGUGUAGUGGUUAGCACUCUGGACUUUGAAUCCAGCGACCUGGGUUCGACUCCCGGUAGGACCUU
Molecule: transfer RNA, 89 nt
Filed under: Helianthus annuus (common sunflower)
Lineage: Eukaryota; Viridiplantae; Streptophyta; Magnoliopsida; Asterales; Asteraceae
Description: tRNA-Gln
Rfam family: tRNA (bases 17-88)
About the family: Transfer RNA (tRNA) molecules are approximately 80 nucleotides in length. Their secondary structure includes four short double-helical elements and three loops (D, anti-codon, and T loops).
Source: RNAcentral